CUGGCGGGAGAGACUGCGCCUACCCGGGAGGGGCCAGGAGGUGCCCUGGGCCAGCCAUUACCCCCCACCGGGUGCCCUGACCACGGCGGGCGACACUGGUCUCCAAGGCCCAGUGACUUCCCACAGGCAUGUAAUUUGGCCCGAUUUACCGGGAAGUCGCAUAAACACGAGCCACUUGCAUUUCUUCCAGUAGCUGCCCUGGGCUCCACGGGGGGCCCCCUCUCUCUUUCCUGCUGGGGAGCAACGGUUUGGUCUGGCUCUGGAAUUUUCGAUGACUACCACAGCCUCAUUCCGUGAGGGGACACGAAGCGGGCUGGGCUGUGGUUGCAGGCCCCCAGGACGGCGAGGACCCCUGCCUCCGAGGCGCUGUGUUGCAGGUCUCUGGCAAGGGAGGCUCUGGGCUGCAUCCGAGAACAGCUGGAGUCCUCCGUGGAGCUUCCCCGCACGCCGGCCUCCCGCCAGCUUCCCCAGCGCCUUGCGGCAAGGCUGAGCUCCAGGUUGUGCUGUUUCCAGAGCCAGCUCCCCUGUAACACUCUGCGGCAGGUUUGGAGAGAGCUGAAAGCUUGCCUUGGAAGCAGAAGUCCUGAAGAGCUGUCUUCACAUGUGGCCUUCUCACUGUGGGGGUUUGGCUGAGCGCAAAGAUGGCCGUGUCCCACCUUGGACUACCUGGUGCGGAGACCUGGCUCUGUUUCCAGGUCCAGCUUUCUACUAAUGCAGACUCUGGGAGGCAGCAGGUGAUGGCUAAAGUAGUUGAGUCCCUGCCACCCAUGUGAGAGA
Lepus europaeus (European hare) is the source of this 777-nucleotide long non-coding RNA. RefSeq lists it as uncharacterized. The record is from RefSeq and is a predicted model, not a curated record. Lineage: Eukaryota; Metazoa; Chordata; Mammalia; Lagomorpha; Leporidae. The transcript is spliced from 4 exons.